UACGGAGGGUCCAAGCGUUAUCCGGAUUUAUUGGGUUUAAAGGGUCCGUAGGCGGGGUUUUAAGUCAGUGGUGAAAGCCUACAGCUCAACUGUAGAACUGCCAUUGAAACUGGAACUCUUGAAUGUGAUUGAGGUAGGCGGAAUAUGUCAUGUAGCGGUGAAAUGCUUAGAUAUGACAUAGAACACCGAUAGCGAAGGCAGCUUACCAAGUCAUUAUUGACGCUGAUGGACGAAAGCGUGGGGAGCGAACAGG
This 253-nucleotide ribosomal RNA is filed under the name uncultured bacterium. RNAcentral's name for it is "partial 16S ribosomal RNA". It matches the Rfam family "Bacterial small subunit ribosomal RNA", at positions 524 to 776 of the family's 1533-position model. The record is from RNAcentral.